Molecule: long non-coding RNA, 1628 nt
Organism: Alnus glutinosa
Lineage: Eukaryota; Viridiplantae; Streptophyta; Magnoliopsida; Fagales; Betulaceae
Exons: 3
Source: RefSeq, a predicted model, not a curated record
AUUAUUUGAUAAAAAAAAUUAUUAAUGAUGCUCUGGUUAAAGGCUAUAAGGUUUUGCAUAUUGGAGCUGUUCAAGUUGCUUUUAAACCACUAGCUAGGCUAGAUAGUACUAAUGCUUCCGUUUUGCUUCGUCUUCGUGAUCCUAGAUUUGUUGAUUUCCAGACUAGUAUUCUUGGUAUGAUACAAUCUUCUUUGUUUAAUGGACCAAUCCAUUUUGAUAUUUUCCCUGACUCACUUAUUUAUUUGGAUGAUGUUCGUAUUACUAAAGGAUUGACUUUAGAUGUUUUGACUUCUGGUUGUGACAUGGAAGAAGGUAGAAGACCUCUUGCUGUCAUCUACCGCACUUAUUACAAAUUGCUAAAAGACAAUCCAAAUCCUCACGCUGUUGUCAAAAGUUCUGGGAACUCUACUAUGUUAAUUCAAAGUUCUACACAAGAUGCUAGCAUAUAUGUUCCUAAAGUGAUGGGAUGGAAUGAAAUUGACGUCCCUAAUGAGUGGCUUUUAGAAAAUGUUUUCGAGCCUGCUAGAGUAGUAAAUGAUACCUCUAAUCUUGGUUCCAAUAUCUAACAAUAUUCAGAUGGAUCUGUUAAGAUUAGUUUUUCUGAUUUAAAUAUUUCUAUUAGAAGAGAAAGACCAUUAACUAUUAAUUAGGAGUGUAAAUUCUCUGCAAUGCAUUUCGUUCUUUUAUUUUCACUUUUUCCUUUUGCGCCGCUGCCUUCUUCAAAUCUUCUUGUCUUCUCUUCACGCCAUUCUUCACGCUUGCCUUCUUCAAUUCUUCUUGAAUCUUCAAUCCUUUCCUCUGUUUCUUUGUUUGCUUUUGCUUUCCUUCACAACACACACGGACCGAGAUCGAGAGAGACCUGAGAGUUGCUGCUGCUACGGUUACUGUCAAAGAAGUGAAGAACUCAAGAGAGAGCAAGAGUUCUAGAUUAUGAUUUGGUUAUUUCUGAAGCAGAUGGAGCAAAGGAAGUAGACGGCUAGGAAUUGUUGAAGCUUUCAAGCGACUGGACCACUUGGUGAAAUUGACAAAGAAGGUGGGAAAUAAGAUUGAGGCAGCAACUCUACACGUUAUUGGCAAAAAGGUUUUGGAAGAAAAUCUUUCAAAUUUCAAGAUUUUAAUAAAGUCGGCAUUCUCACUUUGGAAAGAUUUAAAGUCUAAAUUAAAUUUGACUUUAAGAAAAGAGAAGUUGACAAAAUCUUUUAUUUAGGAAAAGAAUCCAGAUUGAGUAUGUCACUUUAUUUUCAUCAUAACUUUCGGCUCAAAUAUCGGAUUGCGUUGAAUUUGGUGGCGUUGGAAAGCUAAUGAAAAAUGAAACAAAUAAGUCUGAAAUAGGUUUUUCCUAUUUCGGACUUUUACUAUGCCCAAAUUGCCCCGCAAUAAAAGAACGCAAUUCUGUGCGAAUUUGGAGUCUUUUUCUUACUAGGAUUGAAAUUUCUAAGGAUUUGUACAAUUAGGGGACCAUAUCAAUCAGAUUUCUUUCCAAAGCAAAUGCCUUCCAUGCACAAGUUCAUAUUCUUUCCAUAUAUACCUAGUGAUGGACGUGUGGAGCACAAAUCAGAUUGACAUGUCAUGAUUUCUUUCCAUAAUUUUUACCAAGACACAUGGAUUCAAGAUCUGAUUUAUUUCCA